This is a small nuclear RNA of Myotis lucifugus (little brown bat), 105 nucleotides long. The record is from Ensembl. NCBI's taxonomy places the organism in Eukaryota, Metazoa, Chordata, Mammalia, Chiroptera, Vespertilionidae.
GUGCCUGCUGUGGCAGCACAUCUACUGCAAUUGGAAUGAUGCAGAAAAGAUUGGCAUGGUCCCUGCACAAGGACAACAUGAAACGCAGAAGCAUUCCACUUUUUA